Molecule: transfer RNA, 64 nt
Filed under: Micromonospora echinospora
Lineage: Bacteria; Bacillati; Actinomycetota; Actinomycetes; Micromonosporales; Micromonosporaceae
Description: tRNA-OTHER
Rfam family: tRNA
About the family: Transfer RNA (tRNA) molecules are approximately 80 nucleotides in length.
Source: RNAcentral
GCCCACGUAGCUCAGCGGAUAGAGCACCAGCGGGUUGUCGGAGGUUCGAGUCCUUCCGUGGGCG